GUGAAAGACGGUCUUGCUGUCACUUAUAGAUGGAUCCGCGCUGCAUUAGCUAGUUGGUAAGGUAACGGCUUACCAAGGCAACGAUGCAUAGCCGACCUGAGAGGGUGAUCGGCCACACUGGAACUGAGACACGGUCCAGACUCCUACGGGAGGCAGCAGUAGGGAAUCUUCCGCAAUGGGCGAAAGCCUGACGGAGCAACGCCGCGUGAGUGAUGAAGGUCUUCGGAUCGUAAAACUCUGUUAUUAGGGAAGAACAUAUGUGUAAGUAACUGUGCACAUCUUGACGGUACCUAAUCAGAAAGCCACGGCUAACUACGUGCCAGCAGCCGCGGUAAUACGUAGGUGGCAAGCGUUAUCCGGAAUUAUUGGGCGUAAAGCGCGCGUAGGCGGUUUUU
Molecule: ribosomal RNA, 395 nt
Filed under: Staphylococcus aureus
Lineage: Bacteria; Bacillati; Bacillota; Bacilli; Caryophanales; Staphylococcaceae
Description: bacterial SSU rRNA
Rfam family: Bacterial small subunit ribosomal RNA
Source: RNAcentral